Molecule: ribosomal RNA, 253 nt
Filed under: uncultured archaeon
Lineage: Archaea
Description: partial 16S ribosomal RNA
Rfam family: Archaeal small subunit ribosomal RNA
Source: RNAcentral
CCCCAGCGCCACGAGUCGCAGCCACUAUUAUUUGGCCUAAAGCGUUCGUAGCCGGUCUGUUACAUCUCCUGUGAAAUUGUCGAGCUUAACUCUACAAAUGGCAGGAGACACCUGCAGACUAGGGACCGGAAGGGGUCAGAGGUAUGCUCGGGGGAGCGGUAAAAUGCUAUAAUCCCGAGUGGACCACCUGUGGCGUAGGCGUCUGACCAGGACGGAUCCGACGGUGAGGAACGAAAGCCAGGGGAGCAAUCCG